AUGGCACAGUGGAUAGAGCACCAGCCCUGAACUCUGGAGGAUCUGAGUUCAAAUCUCAGU
RNAcentral lists this transfer RNA (60 nucleotides) under Sarcophilus harrisii (Tasmanian devil). It matches the Rfam family "tRNA", at positions 7 to 64 of the family's 71-position model. Rfam says of the family: Transfer RNA (tRNA) molecules are approximately 80 nucleotides in length. Their secondary structure includes four short double-helical elements and three loops (D, anti-codon, and T loops). Further hydrogen bonds mediate the characteristic L-shaped molecular structure. tRNAs have two regions of fundamental functional importance: the anti-codon, which is responsible for specific mRNA codon recognition, and the 3' end, to which the tRNAs corresponding amino acid is attached (by aminoacyl-tRNA synthetases). tRNAs cope with the degeneracy of the genetic code in two manners: having more than one tRNA (with a specific anti-codon) for a particular amino acid; and 'wobble' base-pairing, i.e. permitting non-standard base-pairing at the 3rd anti-codon position. The record is from Rfam by way of RNAcentral. Lineage: Eukaryota; Metazoa; Chordata; Mammalia; Dasyuromorphia; Dasyuridae.